This 496-nucleotide ribosomal RNA is filed under the name uncultured bacterium. Its description in RNAcentral is "partial 16S ribosomal RNA". It matches the Rfam family "Bacterial small subunit ribosomal RNA", at positions 28 to 506 of the family's 1533-position model. The record is from RNAcentral.
GAUGAACGCUGGCGGCGUGCCUAAUACAUGCAAGUCGAGCGAACGGGCGAGAAGCUUGCUUCUCUGAUGUUAGCGGCGGACGGGUGAGUAACACGUGGAUAACCUACCUAUAAGACUGGGAUAACUUCGGGAAACCGGAGCUAAUACCGGAUAAUAUUUUGAACCGCAUGGUUCAAAAGUGAAAGACGGUCUUGCUGUCACUUAUAGAUGGAUCCGCGCUGCAUUAGCUAGUUGGUAGGGUAACGGCUUACCAAGGCAACGAUGCAUAGCCGACCUGAGAGGGUGAUCGGCCACACUGGACCUGAGACCCGGUCCAGACUCCUACGGGAGGCAGCAGUAGGGAAUCUUCCGCAAUGGGCGAAAGCCUGACGGAGCAACGCCGCGUGAGUGAUGAAGGUCUUCGGAUCGUAAAACUCUGUUAUUAGGGAAGAACAUAUGUGUAAGUAACUGUGCACAUCUUGACGGUACCUAAUCAGAAAGCCACGGCUAACUACGU